RNAcentral lists this ribosomal RNA (253 nucleotides) under uncultured bacterium. Its description in RNAcentral is "partial 16S ribosomal RNA". It matches the Rfam family "Archaeal small subunit ribosomal RNA", at positions 474 to 727 of the family's 1478-position model. The record is from RNAcentral.
UACCAGCACCCCGAGUGGUCGGGACGAUUAUUGGGCCUAAAGCAUCCGUAGCCGGUUUUACAAGUCCUCCGUUAAAUCCAGCUGCUUAACAGAUGGGCUGCGGAGGAUACUAUAAGACUAGGAGGCAGGAGAGGCAAGCGGUACUCAGUGGGUAGGGGUAAAAUCCGUUGAUCCAUUGAAGACCACCAGUGGCGAAGGCGGCUUGCCAGAAUGCGCUCGACGGUGAGAGAUGAAAGCUGGGGGAGCAAACCGG